RNA transcript from Rhincodon typus (whale shark), 11814 nucleotides. It is a transcript of the gene named farnesyltransferase, CAAX box, beta, with no coding region annotated. The record is from RefSeq and is a predicted model, not a curated record. NCBI's taxonomy places the organism in Eukaryota, Metazoa, Chordata, Chondrichthyes, Orectolobiformes, Rhincodontidae. The transcript is spliced from 13 exons.
CCUACUGAAUAUCCUUUAUUGACACAUGCAUUCAAUACAAAAUACAGUGAAAAAUAUGUACCAUUGCUUGUACAUAAGCACCAUUCACAGAAUAGGUGCAUUUACACACAGUGGUUUAAGAAGGCUGCUUUCAAGGCUAAUUAGGGAAGGGUAACAAAUACUGGCCUAACCAGACACACCCAUAUUCAAUGAGAAAAGGAAGAAAAAAAUUUGUUUGGUCAUACAAAACUUAAAGUAUUGCUGAUAAAGUAAUAUUUAGAUUUUUUUUCAUCUUGCGCUCAUCAGUUCAAUUCGCAAAGAUCACUAAAGUAAUAGGAAAACAACAGUUAUACUGUAUGAAAUACAGUGCUCAAUAAUAAAAGCAAAUACUCUGAUUGUUGGAAAUCUGAAAUAAUACCAGCAAAUGUUGGAGGAACUUUGCAGGGCGAGCUGCAUUUGUGGAGAGGGAAACACAGUUAACAUUUCUUGUCCAAAGGUUCUAUUUGGAACUGAUUGCCAAUUAAUCACCACUGAUUGCAGUGAUCAAUCAGACUCUGGCUGGUCGAGGUGCUGCCAUGGCGAAUGCACCAACUGGAUGAUGUCUGUCAGUUAACUGCCAAGCUUUGUUUAAACUUAAAGGAUUAUCUUCAGCAGUAUUUGUAUUGGUUAUAAAAAAAAUUGGUUCUGUCCAAAUCAGCUGUUCUGAGGGUCACUGGACCUGAAAUGCUAACUCUGAUUUCUCUCCAGACCUGCUAAGCCUUUGCAGCAAUUUCUGUUUUUGUUUCUGAUUUCCAGCAUCUGCAGUUCUUUUGGUUUUAGUUUUGUAUUAGUUAUGUUUCUAUUCUGUGUCCUGAAACACAAAAUUACACGUUGACUUUUAUGGGGAAAAGGGAGUAGUUACUUAUGUUUCAGAAAGAUUUCUAUCAGGGGCACAACUGUGAUUGAGUGAGGAAGAAAUAGUAAUCCAAAAUCGGAGAGGGGAGGGCAGAUAUAUGUCUGAAGAGGAUUGACUUAACAACUGUACUCUUAUGAGGAAGGGAGGACACGUUAAAUUAACACGCACAUGGAGUACAACCCAUUCAAAUACUGCUGAAUAUAAUCCUUCAGAGCAAUUGACUGUCAAAUCUCAGGUCAUAAAUUCCACGGUAGUUGUUUGUCGGAUAUUUUGUGUUAUUAUUAAUCAGAAGCAAGAUUUUCCUUGAUCCUCACUCAAAAGGACGAAGGGGAUGAGCUCUACACACACCGAGCUGGAAGCAGUGACAGAAUCAGCAGUCAGUGGGGCUGACGGAUGCCGAAAUGCCCACAGGAGGCGCACAACGCGCUUGCGUAUUUGUCGGGAGGUUUGUCCCUGCCGCGGGCCUGUCGGAGCUGCCCGCUCACUCGCAGUGAUGCUGAGGAGAGGCUGAAGGGCCGCCGCCUUGGCGGCCGCAGGGCGGAAGGAAGAAACCGUUUAAAGUAAAGCACACACACCGAUUCACUCGGCUGGGCUUUAACCGCGCCUCCUUAACCAUGGCCGAGAUCCCGAAGACGUUACGGUGCUUUCGGGAGGAGCACUCUGGGGAAAAACUGAAGGACGACAAUGUGUUGACGGUAACUUCAGAAGAGCAGAAGACAGUAGAACUGAAUGUGGAAGAGGCAUAUGAAGCAUUCAGAAUUGAUCGGAGCAUGCUGCAACCUGUCCUUCAAAGAGAGAAACACUUCCAAUACUUGAAGAAAGGUCUGAGGCAUCUCUCUGAGUCGUAUUCGUGUUUGGAUGCCAGCCGGCCCUGGCUUUGUUACUGGAUCUUACACAGCUUGGAGUUGCUAGGAGAACCAAUUGAUGAUUGUAUGGCUUCAGAUAUUUGUCAAUUCCUAUCACGAUGUCAGAGUCCAAAUGGUGGAUUUGCUGGUGGACCAGGCCAAGAGCCACAUCUUGCCCCGACGUAUGCAGCAGUGAAUGCACUCUGCAUUAUAGGCACAGAAGAGGCAUAUAAUGUUAUUAACAGGGAAAAGCUGCUAGAAUUUCUAUACUCUGUGAAACAGCCUAAUGGUUCCUUUACUAUGCAUGUGAGUGGAGAAGUCGAUGUUAGGAGUGCCUACUGUGCGGCAUCUGUUGCCUCCUUAACAAACAUCGUCACACCAACAUUGUUUGAGGGGACACCUGAGUGGGUGUUAAGAUGUCAGAAUUGGGAGGGUGGGAUUGGUGGUGUACCUGGAAUGGAAGCCCAUGGUGGCUAUACUUUCUGUGGGAUGGCUGCCAUGGUUAUCUUCAAAAAGGAAUGGAUGCUGGACCUCAAAGCUUUGUUACGCUGGGUGACCAGUCGGCAGAUGCGGUUUGAAGGUGGAUUUCAGGGUCGGUGCAACAAGUUGGUGGAUGGUUGUUACUCAUUCUGGCAAGCUGGACUCUUACCACUCCUGCAUCGUGCAUUGCAUGCACAUGGAAACAAUAGUCUCAGUAUGACACGCUGGAUGUUUCAUCAAGAAGCCCUACAGGAGUAUAUCCUACUUUGCUGUCAGAAUUCCACUGGGGGAUUACUGGACAAACCUGGCAAGUCAAGGGAUUUUUACCAUACCUGCUAUUGCCUAAGUGGUCUUUCAGUGGCACAGCACUUUGGUGGUGGAGAACUUCUACACGAAAUUAUUGUUGGUGAUACAAACAACCGGCUGGAACCAAUCCACCCUGUAUACAACAUUAGUCCUGAAAAAGUAGCACAAGCUGUAAUGCACUUCCACAAGCUACCAGUACCACAGAUGAAAAAUAAUUCAAAUUAAAUUCAUUGUGUAUUCAAAGUAACUAACUUUCUAAGUACUAAUUGUGUAACCUGAGCGCAGAGAAUUGUGGUAUCCAAAGUGAAAUGAUUCACGUGAAGCAGGGACUAGCUUCGAGUUAUUUGCUUCUGACGACAACAACAAGCCAUUGACACUGCCGAAACUGUGACUGACUAGUCAAUGUUCAGCAAUUUGCUCCUCCAAUGCUGCAGAAACGGAGGGUGGUGUCUAAAAGUGGUCAAAAUUGACACUGUUGAAACAUGGCAAGUGAAGUUCCAAAUGGAUUAAUUUAAAUGGAGUCUCUGCAAUGACAUUGUGACCAUGACUAUCUUGUUUCCAAACUCAUCAUGUGAACUCGUGUGUUUACAGCACAUAGGUGUGCAAUUUUUAUGCCUUUUUAAACUUUAAUUUAAAAAUUUACUUUUGUUUUGAAUUUCUUAUCUUGCUUCUACGUUUUACAUCUUGCUGUUUGUAUCUGAGGGGAUGAACCAAUUUUGCUUUUAAAGUAGUACCAACUGCAAAUUAGAACGAUACAAGCAUCUGUGCUAGAAAAUUUAUACUUUAUUUCGAUAUACAGCUAUUCACAUUUUGUCCACAUCUGGCAUAUGUUAAUAAAAUAUAAUAUUUUUGUGCAACGAUACUUAUUGGCCUGGAUUUCGCAGUUCGGUGUUACAUGCAGAAAUCCAGAUUGUGCCUUUGUAGUUCCUACAGAUGAAAUCAUUAGAAAUGACUGAAAUUGCUGUGAAUAUCCACUUUUUAUACAGAGAUAAAGCAAAAUACAUGAACAUUGGAAAUCUCAAAUAAAAUCAGUGUGGGAAACAUUCAGUAUAUCCGCAGCAUCUGUGGAAGAAAAACAGUGAUGACAUUUCAGAGUUCUGUAUUUUCUGAUAUUUUUCACUUUUACACUACCAUUCUGUAAAAUCCCUUGAUACAUGUUGCACCUCGUGAGGUGUGACCUAGUUUGGAACAGUGCACUAAGUUCACAAUGCUGUUACAACUUCGCUGACAGAAAAUCUAAUUUUCUUUGUGGCAUCUCAAAUGUCUACAGUGAUAACUUUAAAACAAUUAAAAACCUAUUAAAUUUUAUUAUCCUUCAUUUAUGUUAAGUCACAGUAAGACCCUUAUUUUAUUCUUUGCAAGAUAAUUAACAGGUGAAGGAUAAUCAGUACAUUUUAUUUCCUGACUUACAUCAGCAAAAACUCUUCAGAUUGUUGGCUCAGCCUAAUUGUUGCCACUAAUGUUACUGGGUGGUGAUGAUUAUCAAUAGUUGACAGCAGAAACCAAUUAAUGUUGGACAAGUUGAAAUCCAUGUCACCAAGUCUUUUGAUGUCAAAACACAUGACUGUUAUCUUGAGAGAGGUUGGUUUGUUCAGCAAAAUGACAAAAAUCCUCUCUGUAUUGAACAUCAGCAGAAAUAUAGAUUAAUUUUAUACUUGCAACAAUUAAAAUAAGCAAAGGUCAGUUUUCAAUGCUUUCUGUUUAUACUUUCAAUCUUCAUUCAUUGUUAUUUUGCUAAAGUAGGGUAAAAUUGCCUCAACAAGCCAUCCUGCAAACCUAAUACUGAGGAUCCAGUUAUUUGUUCAUAAUUUUUAAGUAUCAUCAAAGAAUAAUAAAUGACUGCACUUUUAGAACAGAACUUCACUUAUUAUCAAUUUAAUGUUUUUUGAAGAUUUAAAGCUUUUUCAGAUGACAGGACUUCCUAUCCCACCGUCUGUUGGGAUCACACUUGCCAAUGCUGGCCGCUCCACAGCCGUUCAACACAUUAAGCAUUAAAUUGCUGCAGGAGAAGCUUCUGCCCCCUGCGUGGGAGGAGGUCCUACUUCAGAAAGCUUCAGAUAAUCAGACUGGCCAAAAACUGAGUAAUCCUGCCAGCACCAGUUAAUAGAGUGACCUUCCCUGGGAUGAUGCGCAGUCUCCAGAGACCAGGCCAGAAUGUCCAGGACUGGGUAAGUGUGGGGUUCUUGCAGUCACGUGGGUGGAAUGCUUGUGGGUAGUGGGAGGGUAGGGUGACAACACAGAGGUAUUUACAGACUUUGUGGGUUGGGAUGUUAAGAAGGAUCUGUUGAGAGGUACCCUCCAUUAUGCCUGAAGCCAGAGCAAAAUGGCUUUCCAGGCUUCCUCCUCAGCUCUUGAUGACCUCACAGCCUUCAAAUUGAGGCCAGUAGAAAGCCACCUUGAAGUGGUCAUUAAUUGUCCAGUUAAAGACCUCCAUUGGCAAAAGGGUGGGCACUACAGGCCUCUCUCAUCCCAUACCCAUUUUACCAACUGGAUUGCAGCAGUUUAAGAAAGCAGGUCACCACCAACAUCUUGAGGACAAUUAGGGAUGGAACAUAAAUGCUGGUCUAGCCAGUGAUCCCUCCAUACUCAAAUUCCAGCCUGGUUGGUGCAGGUGGAGGGACAGUGGCAAAUUUUAUUGCAGUCAGGUUAGUGUAAAAAAAAAAUAAACAACCCAGUUCGUGCUCAGUAGUGUUCUGUUUUUCUUUUUAGCUGCAUGGGACUCCAAAGUUGCUGCUGUGCUCAGGACUUGGAACUGAAGGUCAAUUGAUUAUAACUUUAAUGUCUCUCCUCCCCUUUACCCCCACUCCAACUGUAGGCCAAACAUUGUCCUUGUAUCAACUGAUGAAUUCUUUCUUUCUUGCCUCACAAGUAAAACUCUGAACAUUUCUACUGUCUUUACUGAAUAAAAUUUUAAGAGGAUUCGCAGGUAAUGAAGAGGGAAACUCUCUGCUGGCUGGAGUACAAAGGAAGGUAGGUUGUUGGAGGUUAAUCAUUUCAGCCUCAGGAUAUUACCCUAAAGAACUCCUACAGAAGUGUUUUCAGCCCACCCACCUUCAGCUGCUUCAUCAAUGACCUUUUCUGUCAAAAUCAGAAGCGGGGAUGUUUGCUGCUGAUUUGUAUAGCAUUCUGUAUCAUUCAUGGCUUGGAUACGGAACUAAUAUGUCAACAUGUGGUAAUACCUAAAAUGAUGUUCAGAUUUUGGCUGAGGACAAAGAGGAAACAAAGAUACAGCUAGAACCAGCUAAGAGGUUGGAGAGCGAGGAUCGAAAAUAAAAUGCAGAUCAUGUAUAGUAUUUUCUGGACUGUAACGAGUCCAAAUUAUCAGCCCAAGCCUGGAUGUUGUGCAUGGGGACACUCGUCCUCCGAGAUGAGCCAUCUCACCUGGCACCUGCAACCCUUGCCCUAUUCACCAUGAGACCACAUUAUCCUUUCACUGGCUGUGCUCCUCUUCUUCCCUCAUCACUGAGAAUAUUCCUUCCCCCUAAAACCUGUCUCACAUGUGACCCCUCUUCUUUCUCUGCUGCACAUUAAUCCCCUUCUUUCUUCAGGGAUCUGAACCGCACAACCUGAUUUCUGCCACCUCUCUCAACCUACCCAGGCACCUUACCCAUAUUGGGCAUUACUCCCUUCUUUCUUAACCUACUAAUCACCUGACACCCUGACUUAUACCCAGCUGCACUCUACUUCCCUUGAUAGUAGCUGUCGAAGUGGAGGUCUCGAGCUUUAACUGUAAAAUAAACCAACUGAUUGCAGGGAGAAAGGGGACUGUAUUUUGCAUUCCUUUAACAACAUUACUAAAAAAACUGUCUGAAGGGUAUUAUAGCUCUGCAUUUCAGAAACAGCCCUAACUGGAAUCUCCUGUUUAUAAAAGGGAGAAGCUGUCUCUUAUAAAAAUAAAAAAACUAGGACUGAGUGGCAAUCAAAUUUCCCACCAAUUGCCACACCUUGGAAUAUACAGCCAUUGAAUCGAGAAGGAAAUGAAUGGCAGUUCAAUAUUCAAAGUUUUAUAGUAUUCACAUGAUUUAGAGAUGGAUUAAAAAGGCGGGUUAUUACUGUAUUGGUUAAAGAAACAAAUACAGCUGUGAAAAAGGUAAUCUGUUUGAAAGAAUAUCAAACUACACUAAACAGAAACAAAAGAGCAAUCACACUGCUGAAAGCAUUUUAUGGACCCCCAAACAGUUACAGACAGAUAGAUCAACUACAUUAAUAUUAACUGGAACAAUUUCAGUAUAAGAGAUAUGAACUGUUUUAAGAAUCCUGCUCCCUCUGUAAGAACUUCUUCAGGCAGUACAUAGCAAAUCGAACAAGCAAAGGAGCAGUCUGAACAAAAUGUAGAUGCUGGAGAUCUGAAACAAAAACAAAAAGUGAUGGAUUCACAACUUGUAUUCCCACCACCUGUACUGCUAGAACUGUUGAGUUUGAUCCAGCACUUUGUUUCUGUUUUGGAGAAUUGGUAUAAAGAAGGAUUGAGUAAUUAUGAAAAGGAUACUGACAACUUGGAGUAAAAAUUGUCAAUUGGGGAAUAUUAAAUUUACUAAGCUGAGCUGAUAUUUGACAGAUGCUUGAAGUUAAAUCAAUAUCAAAGCAAUGGAGAUGAGAGGCCCCCCUUAUGUCCCUACCCCUACACCAGGGGGGCCUGUGUGCAAAUCUUACCUGCUCCAGAGGUUGAUUAGAAAAAUAAGUUAAUUUUUUUUUUUUUUUUUAAAUUAUGGGGCAUGUGAAGGAAGACCUGAAGACAGUUCUGAACACACAUUCUCACAAAGAAAGAAGUUCAAAUCGAUACGUGGCCCAAUAUCAAAGGCCAUGUAGAUGUGGACGAGGCAAAAAGCAAGAAAGCUUUUGUCAAAUGCCAAAAACACAAUCCUACAGGUAGCCUAGAAGAAACAAAGUACAGGGGUGACUUUUAAAAAUAGGAAAUGAGAAAUAGUCAAGGAAAUAAUAAAUAUUGGCAAUUAAAAUCAAGGACACUCCAAAGGCAUGCUAUAAAUAUAUAAAGAGCAAGAGACCAAAUAAAGUAACUUGUGGGUAGAAACAGUGUGGGCAGAGCUGUUAAUGAAUAUUUUGUGUUUGUUUUUACAAAAUAAAGAGAUGAAGCAGACAGUAUAGUUAAGAAGUGUAAAACACUGGAUAAGAUAAACUAAGUGAGGGAGGAUGUGUGGAUAAAUCACCAGAUCCCAAUGAAAUGUAUCCUAUUGCUUACAAAAGGAAUCAAAGGUGGAUGUUAGUCAUCAUUUUCCAAUUAUCUGUGAUUACAGCAAUAGAACUGGAAGAGCAAAAAUGCUUGAGACAGUACAGACAGACAGCAUAAUCUUGGUGGCAGGCAAACUAUUGGGAAAAGGUCAAAGACAUGGUAUACGUCACCAUUUUAGAUGCAAGAUUAAUCAAAAAUAGCACUGACGUUAAAGAGAAGGUCAUGUCUGACCACUUGAUUACAUUUAUAAAAGGAGAAAAGGCAAGAAGAGGGUGGUAACAUGUGAUAUAGCGGACAGACUUCAGCAAGACUUUUGACAAGGUCUCAAGGCAGAUUGGUCAGAAAAUUUUAAAAAGCCUUGGAAUUCAAAAGAAAGUUCUAUCUUGGAUUUGAAAUUGACUGAGAUUUUCAAUCUUUGUUGUCAUGUAUUCAAUACUAAGAACAUUUUACAUUAACAUUAAACAUGCCUAAAUUACAGUGUGAACUUAUCAAAUGUUUGGAAGAUCAAAAUCUUUAAAAACUUCUAUCAUAAUUUGGGACUACUGAAAGCCUUUUCUUGGAGUACGGCAUUAUUCUGAGGUCAAAGUGCAUAACUCAGGCACUUUACCAUUAUCUGUAUCAAAUUUUUGUCUGAAGGUUUGUGUGCCUGGAAUUCACUGCUUUUUCUCCACAACCAGAUGGAUACACACUGUUGUAAAACAACUGCAUUCAGUAGUACCCUACGACUGGCAGAUAACAUAUGACUUACAUAAAUGUUACAAUUUGACAUGUUGAAAUGCAUCUGUAAUGCAGGAAAUAAUUGCAACAAGCUGGAGGAACAUACUAGACCAGAGCUGCCCAAACCAGUUUGUAAUGUGAUCCCAUUUAAAUACGUGAGAAUUAACUCAAGCACAGCAAAGACAAAACAGAAGAACAGCAACAAAACAGCACAGUUCAUACUAACGUCAACAAAUCAUUUAAAUAUCAAAAUGUUUUAAAGCACUAUGUUUUUAAAAAAUUGUGAACAGUACGUUGUAAUUAGACCUUCUCCCCUUACCAUUCUUCCUAACAGAGACACAAAAUUCAAAGCUGCCCUCCACUUUUCAGGCUUAGGUACGAGGUAUCCAGGGUUUCCCCAAACUCGGGCACUGACCAAGUUACAUUUGAGGGUACCUGGCUGUUGUAAUUCGGCACACUAACAUCUCAGGCCCCAGAAAUGUCUUCCGAAGUCAAGUAGUAUUUUGAGCACAACAUCCAUCCCAUGUUGUUUGUUCGAAUUGAUCCAACGUGUCAAGGGCUGUCCUGCCAGAGUCUCGAGAUUGGGUCAGUUUGUCUCCUUGACAAUCCAAGGAGAGACUAUUUUCCACCUCAAAUGUGACCUCUGACGACUUAUGUUCAGGAACCUGUGUAGGAAGUGUUGGUAAGAAAAUCUAGAAAACACACAACAGAUCGAUCAACAGCUUUAAAGAUAGGGUUUGACACUUCAGUAAAACAAAGAUGGGCAGGCAUUUUUAUAUGGCUGAAAUGAAUAGAAAAAGCGACAGAUUUUGAUGAUGAGUGAAGUGUUAAGAUGGGUUGCAAACUUACUGAUAUCUUUUAUAGCAACAGGUGAUACAUCAGAUGAUCAAAGGAAUGAGGGAGAAGCUCCACACAAAAAAAAGGAAUCAAUAAACAGCAAAAUAAAGUUCUCCCAAGUGCAUUAUGAAAUGUGACAAUACACUUAUUCCCAAACCCUUAAGCUAAUCCAGAUUCAACCACACAUCACGAACAUAGCUUUAAAUAACAUAAUGGAGAACAAUUGAUAUAAGAAGUGUUUUGUACAUCUGACAAAAAGACUGGCAAUAGUUGGAACUGUAUAGGCUCCGAUAUCUAUAAUAUUUAUCUGGAGGAAAAGCAGAGGUGAGAGUUCAAUGUUAGAAUAAGUUCAACUAGGCAAACGAUGGAAGAUACAAAGACCUGGCACACUCACUGCAUCCCAAAUUAUGGGACUGGAGAAUCUGAAACUUUGGUUGGAUUUUCCUACUUAUGACUAACAGUGCGAGCUUUCAGAGAAUCUUUAAAGCAAUUUUGACAGCCCUGAUCUCUUAGCCUGGCUACCCCCCUGGUACACAGUAUUCUUGAAGACAGGCUUCUUCCAUCCUAGCAAAACCUUCUUUGCUUUAUCAGCAUUAUGAAGCACAAAUGCCUUGCUGACUUUGUCUUUCCAUGUGAUGCAGAUGUAAACACUGAUAUAGAUUGUUGUCCAGGCUUCAUUUCCAAACAGUAAUAUGCUGUGAAUAUGCAGCUUGUAGUCAAGUUGUUGCCUCCAAAACCAGUUGGCCAAAACAGGAAAUUUGCAAAAACUUGAUCCAAGCAGAAGUUGACAAGAACGCUUUUGAUGCAUUUAAGGCACAGCUGGAUAAAUACACAAGGGAUAAAGAAAUAGAUUAUACUGAUGAUGUUCAGUUUGGACCAGUUGCACCAAGUGGGUUAUUUCUGAUUUGUAGACUUUUACACAAUGAGUAGUCUAAAUGGAAAGGCUACUGGCAAAAAUUCAUGUGAAGAAAGAAAUUGGAUCUGGAGGCAGAACUCCAUCUCUAAUUAAUGUAAUUAUUUUUGGUUCAGAAGCUCCCAUCUAAACACACCAAUAUUCCCUUCCAGAAAGAGGCUGUUCCAAUGUGCCGUUCUCCAGAAAGUUUAAAAAACUUACCCAUGCAAGUCAGCUACAAAUUGUUUGACUAUUAUACUUCUAUUUCACUUGCAUCUUACUAAAAAAUUGACUGUUUCUAUGGAAAUUAUUAUUGGCCCUAUGGUUGGUCUGCUGUUCAAACCACAAAAUUGCUCAAGAAUGGGGCCUGAACAUACAAAAUGCCUUUCAUUGAGUACAUUAAGGGUGUUACAAGCAAGCUUGCUCUGUGCACGUUCAGUUCAUUAUGUUCCUGCUGUUGGAUCUUCCAUUAGCAUUCCGUGAUGCAUUGCUCAAAUGAACCUCAAACCAUUACUAAAAAUACCCUUGCUUUAAAUAUUGCUAUUUUCUCCCUCUGUUGAAAUUUAUUUAAGGUAACUCAAUGAGGAAUGUCAGCUUUAUGACAUUUAUCAGUACAUCAGGAAAAGUGUAAAACUCCUACUUAUAAAGCCAGCAGUGUUCUUCCAUACUUCCUUAACCUCAGGAAACUUCACAGCAGUUGAAAAGUUCACCAUCCAGACCCCCUUGAGGAGCAAAAUGCAAACGCUUGUAAAUUUAUACAACUGAGCUUACACUCUCUCAAAAUGAGCUUUGAGAGCAGAAGGUUAGUUUUAACUUGUACAACCAAUGCAGCAGCGUGACAUCAAUCGCCAGCAGUCUGGGCAGAAUUCAUUCAAGAAAUUAAAUAUAAAUGAUUCUCAAAUAUGUUAAAUCUUCAAUAAAGCAGCAUUGGUAUAGAGAUUCAAGGACUGAAGUCAGCAUAUACUUGAGAAUUUCCAUUCCGAAUAAACAUAUACCGAUAAUGUCAACCUGAACAGCAAUGGAUGAAAGCCAGAAGUAGAACUAAACAUAUUCUUAGUAGUUGUUACAAAGACCAAUCAAGAUUAAAGUACAAGAGCCAUACACAAACAAGAUCCACAUGGAAUAGCCCACAAGUCUAUACAUAUUUUCAAGUAUACUGUAUUCCAAGGAUCCUUUUGUCACAGGUGCAUUUUUUAAAAAAAAAAAAUCUUUUCCUUAAACAAGCUUUACUUAAACUUCAAUCAGAAUGAUUUGACAAAGUAACCAGAUUUAAAACAAACUAUGAAAACAGCCUCUGUGACACUGCUAUGAUGUCAGGAAACAAACACUUAUUUCAAAAAUACUUCAUCAGCUGGAGUGCUGCCAAUCAUAAAGGUCAAGAAAGAUAAUACAUAAAUCUAACUCCUUAUUCUCCUUCAUAGAAAUACAAAACAACAAUAUUGACGUUAGUGGCUGUGUUACUAUGCAACUACUAAAUAACUGUUGUUCUCAAGGAGAGAGACAGGCACUUCACAUUUCAAUUUGCAUAAACCUCGUAUUUAGGAUUUCUUUUUCCUCUGGGCAACUGGAUAGCAAUACAGAAUUAAUUCAGUUGCCAGUAAGUUGAAUGAAACUAAUGUGCUCUUCCCUUUGACAUUAGUAAAGAUCAUUAACUAUCACAAAUAACAAGGAU